GUCCUGACUGGAAGUAGGACAAACUCUUGCGAAGGCAAGGGCUGGGGAUUGGUCAUCCUCGGCAAAUAUUAACAGAGCACAUGACCUCGCUCAUCCCCC
The sequence is a regulatory RNA element, 99 nucleotides long. It matches the Rfam family "engA RNA". The record is from Rfam.